Molecule: small RNA, 336 nt
Filed under: Pan troglodytes (chimpanzee)
Lineage: Eukaryota; Metazoa; Chordata; Mammalia; Primates; Hominidae
Description: retained intron
Source: RNAcentral
AAGUUUUUUUUUUCCUUGAGUCAUGCUAAUAGAUGGUUCAAUACAUGAAUAAGUCCCUUGCUGAAAUGCUUUAGGACUUCAGACUACCCUGAACGUUGAUUACUCUUUAUACUGAAAUAGGCAUUAUUCAGUGGAAGAGAGGGAAGACCAAAUUGAUAGACUGGACUUUAUUCGAAACCAGAUGAACCUUUUAACACUGGAUGUUAAGAAAAAAAUCAAGGAGGUUACCGAGGAGGUGGCAAACAAAGUUUCAUGUGCAAUGACAGAUGAAAUUUGUCGACUGUCUGUUUUGGUUGAUGAAUUUUGUUCAGAGUUUCAUCCUAAUCCAGAUGUAUU